UGGGGAAUAUUGGGCAAUGGGGGAAACCCUGACCCAGCGACGCCGCGUGAGGGAAGAAGGUUUUCGGAUUGUAAACCUCUGUUCUUGGUGAAGAGGGGAAGACGGUAGCCAAGGAGAAAGCCCCGGCUAACUACGUGCCAGCAGCCGCGGUAAUACGUAGGGGGCGAGCGUUGUCCGGAAUGAUUGGGCGUAAAGGGCGCGUAGGCGGCUUAUCAAGUCUGGAGUGGAAGUCCUAUUUUCAAGGUAGGAAUUGCUUUGGAAACUGGUAAGCUUGAGUGCAGGAGAGGUCAUCGGAAUUCCCGGUGUAGCGGUGAAAUGCGUAGAGAUCGGGAGGAACACCAGUGGCGAAGGCGGGUGACUGGACUGCAACUGACGCUGAGGCGCGAAAGUGUGGGGAGCAAACAGG
Molecule: ribosomal RNA, 406 nt
Filed under: uncultured Bacillota bacterium
Lineage: Bacteria; Bacillati; Bacillota
Description: bacterial SSU rRNA
Rfam family: Bacterial small subunit ribosomal RNA
Source: RNAcentral